Molecule: RNA transcript, 870 nt
Organism: Melospiza melodia melodia
Lineage: Eukaryota; Metazoa; Chordata; Aves; Passeriformes; Passerellidae
Gene: TMEM216
Gene name: transmembrane protein 216
Exons: 5
Source: RefSeq, a predicted model, not a curated record
AUGGCCGCCCGUGUCCCCUCAGACCGCCAUCGCUCCUCGGCUCCGCUGCAGGUCCUGCUCUUCCUCAACGGCUGGUACUGCGCCACAUAUUUUCUCCUGGAAGCGUUCGUGUUCGUGUACAAAGUGCUGCUCCUGCCCUAUCCCGUCUCCAACUUGGUGUUGGACGUGGUGCUGCUCCUCCUCUACCUCGGCAUUGAGGCCACACGCAUCUUCUUCGGCUCCAAGGGGAACCUGUGCCAGCGGAAGGUGCCGCUGUCCCUCAGCCUGGCACUUACAGUGCCGGCAGCCGCGCUGGCCGUGUACUACCUGCUGCUCCAGACAUAUUCCCUGCGCCUGGAAGCGUUCCUGAGUGCCAUCCUGCUCCUCUUCUACGGCCUGGAGCUGCUCCUGGGUGUCCUGGCGCUCCUCUCCUUCUCCAGCACGGAUCCCUACUGAGGACACGGCCCAGGGACACAGGGGAGCAUCACCCGUGCCAGCUCCAAUUCCCAGCCCCGGGAAGGGGGAGGAUCCCUCCUUUCCCACUGCCCAUUUCACCUGGUGCCACCUGGACACAUCCCUCCCACCUUUGUCACUUCUAUGUGGACAUAUCCCUCCUAUUUUUCCUGCUUCCCACUUCACCAGGGACCUGCUGCCACAUAUUCAUCCCUCCCUUUUCCCACUGCCCCCUGGACAUAUCCCUCUCACCUUUCCCAUUCUCCAAUCCACUUGGACUCCUCAGAGCUUGAGCCAGCUCAAGGAAGGCAACAGGAGCGCUGUGUAAAAGACUGACAACGUCAUCUGAGUUUAUUACACAAUUCCAACCUAUCCAAAGACAAAUCUAAUCACUGCGAGCAGGAGGGGCGGCGCCUCGCCGGGGCUUCCAGGGAUUUG